GUGGCCUUCCAGACCGCUGGUAGUGGACUUGAGGCUGUCGGGAAGGAGGGGUGUGGCCUAGACCACUAAGGGCCGUGACGUGGUGCCGCUGAGCUUGGACCCCGACCAGAAGAUAGAGAUUGAAACGAUGAGGAAAACGAAGUGCCUAAUCCCCGCUGGACGCUAACUGCAGGCACCCAGAAAUACUCUCCACACCAUGCUGCACUGCUGCGGAUGAGGGAAGGAUGGUGUCGGGGCUUCAAGACUGUUUUUCCUACCUCUUCAGUGCCUCUUUCAGUGAUAUGAAGUUAAAACCAGGAACAUGGAGGAGACAUAUUUCCACCUAUUUCUCUCCAUAAGUAUAAAAGACCAUAAAAGACCAUCUAGGGACUUCAGAACCCAAAUAAUGACACAAUGUUAAUUUGCAGGUUCUCCCUCUGCCUGCCACCCCACCCAGCAAGGAGGAGAGGAAGUGUUGAGAAGGGAAGAGAUGAGUCCUGGCCCUGUCACUUCUUAGGGGUGUGCUUUUGAACAACCUGCUCACCAUGUAUGAACUUCACUCUUCUUGUUUAUAAAAUGAGGACAAUGACACCUGCAAGACUGUGAGGUUUAAAAACAAAAUCUGUGUUGAGAGGUAACUUGCCUCUUUUACUUACCAAUGAUUUCCUCAAUGCCUGGUGACUGGGGCUGGUUCAUACUAGACGAUCAAUAAAUGCUCCUUGAAUGAAUAGGUGGAUGAAAGAAAUGUCUGGCAUCUAUCACAGGUGCUGGCACUGAUAAGUGCUUGAUAAAUAGGCUGGCUGACUGUGAGUGAUGCUGACGGGCAAAGGACAGAGACACCAGGAAGGAGAACAGGACACGAAAGAUAACUGUCUCAGCCCUUGGGGAGUUUCUGACCCAGGAGGAUGGGAACAUCAAUUAUCAAUAGUUACAGAUCAUUAAAUAAUUGCAAGUGUGAGGCGCACUAUAAAGAGGAGGCUCAGAGUCCCCGCAUGCUCACACUCACACCUGGCCACAGACAGGUGACACCCCUGGCUUGCCCAGGCCAGCGGGUCUGCAAUGAGGCCAAGGACCUGGGCUCUUGAGAAGUUUUAAGUUUGAAAACAUUGCUUUUUAAGCUUAAAACAAUGAACCUUAAUAAAAGUAAACACUUCCAUUGAGCUUUGAAACACUUAAUAGGAGUUAAAAGUAAUUAGGCUAAUAAAAUAGUCUUUUGUUCCAA
Molecule: long non-coding RNA, 1201 nt
Organism: Homo sapiens (human)
Lineage: Eukaryota; Metazoa; Chordata; Mammalia; Primates; Hominidae
Gene: COPB2-DT
Product: COPB2 divergent transcript
Source: Ensembl